CGUAUCACCCAAGACAACUUUGCACAGUUGACGAUUGGCGGAGCGAAGCGACGUCAAAGCGUUUUACAACGUCGAGUUGGCUUAGGGAUACGUUCGUUGGGUAGGGGAGCGUUCUGUAAGCCUGUGAAGGUGGCCUGUGAGGGUUGCUGGAGGUAUCAGAAGUGCGAAUGCUGACAUAAGUAACGAUAAAGCGGGUGAAAAGCCCGCUCGCCGGAAGACCAAGGGUUCCUGUCCAACGUUAAUCGGGGCAGGGUGAGUCGACCCCUAAGGCGAGGCCGAAAGGCGUAGUCGAUGGGAAACGGGUUAAUAUUCCCGUACUUGGUGUUACUGCGAAGGGGGGACGGAGAAGGCUAUGUUGGCCGGGCGACGGUUGUCCCGGUUUAAGCGUGUAGGUGUGUGUUCCAGGUAAAUCCGGUUCACUUUAACACUGAGGCGUGACGACGAGGCACUACGGUGCUGAAGCAACAAAUGCCCUGCUUCCAGGAAAAGCCUCUAAGCAUCAGGUAACACGAAAUCGUACCCCAAACCGACACAGGUGGUCAGGUAGAGAAUACCAAGGCGCUUGAGAGAACUCGGGUGAAGGAACUAGGCAAAAUGGUGCCGUAACUUCGGGAGAAGGCACGCUGACAUGUAGGUGAAGUGAUUUACUCAUGGAGCUGAAGUCAGUCGAAGAUACCAGCUGGCUGCAACUGUUUAUUAAAAACACAGCACUGUGCAAACACGAAAGUGGACGUAUACGGUGUGACGCCUGCCCGGUGCCGGAAGGUUAAUUGAUGGGGUCAGCGCAAGCGAAGCUCCUGAUCGAAGCCCCGGUAAACGGCGGCCGUAACUAUAACGGUCCUAAGGUAGCGAAAUUCCUUGUCGGGUAAGUUCCGACCUGCACGAAUGGCGUAAUGAUGGCCAGGCUGUCUCCACCCGAGACUCAGUGAAAUUGAACUCGCUGUGAAGAUGCAGUGUACCCGCGGCAAGACGGAAAGACCCCGUGAACCUUUACUAUAGCUUGACACUGAACAUUGAGCCUUGAUGUGUAGGAUAGGUGGGAGGCUUUGAAGUGUGGACGCCAGUCUGCAUGGAGCCGACCUUGAAAUACCACCCUUUAAUGUUUGAUGUUCUAACGUGGACCCGUGAUCCGGGUUGCGGACAGUGUCUGGUGGGUAGUUUGACUGGGGCGGUCUCCUCCUAAAGAGUAACGGAGGAGCACGAAGGUUGGCUAAUCCUGGUCGGACAUCAGGAGGUUAGUGCAAUGGCAUAAGCCAGCUUGACUGCGAGCGUGACGGCGCGAGCAGGUGCGAAAGCAGGUCAUAGUGAUCCGGUGGUUCUGAAUGGAAGGGCCAUCGCUCAACGGAUAAAAGGUACUCCGGGGAUAACAGGCUGAUACCGCCCAAGAGUUCAUAUCGACGGCGGUGUUUGGCACCUCGAUGUCGGCUCAUCACAUCCUGGGGCUGAAGUAGGUCCCAAGGGUAUGGCUGUUCGCCAUUUAAAGUGGUACGCGAGCUGGGUUUAGAACGUCGUGAGACAGUUCGGUCCCUAUCUGCCGUGGGCGCUGGAGAACUGAGGGGGGCUGCUCCUAGUACGAGAGGACCGGAGUGGACGCAUCACUGGUGUUCGGGUUGUCAUGCCAAUGGCACUGCCCGGUAGCUAAAUGCGGAAGAGAUAAGUGCUGAAAGCAUCUAAGCACGAAACUUGCCCCGAGA
RNAcentral lists this ribosomal RNA (1694 nucleotides) under Salmonella enterica. RNAcentral's name for it is "partial 23S ribosomal RNA". It matches the Rfam family "Bacterial large subunit ribosomal RNA", at positions 1154 to 2804 of the family's 2925-position model. Lineage: Bacteria; Pseudomonadati; Pseudomonadota; Gammaproteobacteria; Enterobacterales; Enterobacteriaceae. The record is from RNAcentral.